Passer domesticus (house sparrow) is the source of this 2024-nucleotide long non-coding RNA. RefSeq lists it as uncharacterized. NCBI's taxonomy places the organism in Eukaryota, Metazoa, Chordata, Aves, Passeriformes, Passeridae. The transcript has 2 exons. The record is from RefSeq and is a predicted model, not a curated record.
GUUUACUUUGGUACGACACUUACAGAGGAAUAUUAACUAGAGAAAGCAGCAUCACAACAGGGGUGGAAAAUCAGCCUGUCAGGGACUCAUUCCAAAUGCCACGGAAAGGAGAGCGCCUUCAAGAUUGUUUCAUCAAGGGAGCAGACAAACCGAGCCCUGCCAGGGGACACCCAGCUGCUCUGGGGGCAGCUCCUGUCUCCCACGUGCCUUUGGACUGGGUGCAGCACAGCCACAGUCCCUGUGCUCGGGAUUUGUGCCCAGAAUGAGUGCAGCCACCCCAAAGGGGCCCUCGGAGGAGACGUGUGAGAGGAGGCACGAGGCAGCACGAGGUCAGCUGCUGGGUGUGGGCUGCAGGCGUCACCCACCUCUGCUCCGCAGGAGGACACGGCUGGUCACGAGCAGAAGGGUUCCCUUCGUGCUGCUUUUCCUGCCUGCAGUCCCUCCAAGCCCCCUUCGUGCUGCUUUUCCUGCCUGCAGUCCCUCCAAGCCCCCUUCAUGCUGCUUUUCCUGCCUGCCGUCCCUCCAAGCCUCAGGCAUUCUGCACAGCCAGGCCUCUGACUCCUUGCUUUGCUGCCAUGAAAGCAGUUCCAGCAGCAGCUGUGCCCGAGUCCUGCCCCAGCCCAGGCAGGAGCAGCAUCCCCUGCCCCAGGGUCAGGCGUGGGCCACGGGUGGCCUGACACCUCCCUGCCAGCCAGGCCCUCCCUGCUUUAACCGAAUUUACAAUAACUGAAAAGAAUACCUUUAUCCCUCUAAUAUCCCAUAGUCCUGAACGGAUCAAACGAACAUGCCAGUCAAACGGUUUAUUUUAGACAGGAAACAGCCCUGCAGACCAUUAUUACAAAUUAAAGGUAUUAUAUUGAAGUCAUUUUUAAUCCCUUAUAAAUGAAUAACCCUUCUACCAACAUUAAAUCAUUUUCUUCUGCACAAGUAACAUUUCCUUUCGGCAGCACAGGAUCUAUUCCCCUGCAGACCAGGAGCUAUCCUUCCGUCAGAGCCGGCGGCGGCUGAUUACACCGCACCAGGACUCAUAAAAUUCCCACAGAACUGGCACUUGCAUCUUCCCAGGGCAGCGCUGCCUUCCCUCAUCCAUAAGCAAUAAUGCCACUUUAUUCUCCGUAAUCAGCACGCAGAUGAUUAUUUAGACACAGCCUCAUAAUCCUCCUCGCAGCAUCCACGGAAGAUCUGGAUCUGAAGGCUGCAGCCAAGGAGUUCCCCUGCUGCAGGCAGGGACGGGGAGCCGGGCCCCCUUCCGCAGCACCGGGCUUAUUUAUGUUUGGCAGCUGGACAGAAAGUGGAGCAGGAGUCUGGGAAGGGAGCGAGCUCAGACAACUUCGAGCAGAACCGCACAACGUCCGUUUCGGCACGGCUCUAAUAGGGCAUCAAUAUUGUCAUUUAAACUUAGGAUCAGUACACAAAUGCGCUAUAAAUGGGAAAAUCCCUUGUGAUACUGGUGUGAAACACGCAGCUCAUUGAUUUUGUUCUUGAUGGUCGGCUAUUAAAGCGGCGAACACGCUGACCUUGUGUGCACAGGCAGACAGUGUGCAUGCAACAUAAAGUUGAAAAACAGCUUUAAAAUGACUGUUUAAAACUGCAGACUGCAAACCUUCAAAUACAGACAGGCAUUCCAUAGUUUAUUUUAAAUUGGCAUCCGCAAUUUAACAAGCUAUUCCAACAAAGGAUUAGCAUAGCAUGUGCUUUUCCUUAGCCAUCAAUUAUGACAUGGGGAAUGCAGGGCACAACUUCAGUGUCAGAUUACAACGUGCUGCACAAAUCCACUCACAGCUCUUUGCUCUGCAAUUCCCACCUCGCAGGAGCCAGGCCACAACAUUUCCCCAGCAUCAUCCUGCACCUCCCUGGACCUGCAGAUUACAAGUCCUCGGCUGCUUCUCUGCCAUAUUUCUACCAUUUAAACGAAGAAAAAACACACACUGGUAUUGAUGUCUAUGCUCUCAUUUCAAAUAAAACCUCAAGUGCAUCUCUUCAUUGUAGAUUCCAUUAAAUAAACAUUUUUGUUUUUAAAAAAU